AACGCAUAUUGCACUCUCUGGUAUUCCGGAGAGUAUGCCUGUUUGAGGGUCUGUUAAAUAAAAAUCGGGGUUGUUGCUGCUUUUUGUGGUGACGCUUCGGAAUUGGGUAGUCUUACCUUCGGGUUUAAGUGACCUAAAAUUUUACCUGAUUUUUCGAACGUAUUUAAAUCUUUUACGUACGUUUGGUUAUAUCGAAUAUAUUAGGUGUGGUCAUCCUCAUGAUUCACGUCUAUAAUUUUUUUCAUUUUUAGACCUCAAAUCAGGUAAGAACACCCGCUGAACUUAA
RNAcentral lists this unclassified non-coding RNA (286 nucleotides) under uncultured Glomeraceae. RNAcentral describes it as "sequence contains ITS2". The stretch from base 1 to 52 matches the Rfam family "5.8S ribosomal RNA", at positions 103 to 154 of the family's 154-position model. Lineage: Eukaryota; Fungi; Glomeromycota; Glomeromycetes; Glomerales; Glomeraceae. The record is from RNAcentral.